CGGACGGGUGAGUAACGCGUGGGCAACCUGCCUUACACAGGGGGAUAACACUUAGAAAUAGGUGCUAAUACCGCAUAAGCGCACAGCUUCGCAUGAAGCGGUGUGAAAAACUCUGGUGGUAUACGAUGGUUCCGCGUCUGAUUAGCUAGUUGGUGGGGUAAUGGCCUACCAAGGCAACGAUCAGUAGCCGGCCUGAGAGGGUGAACGGCCACAUUGGGACUGAGACACGGCCCAAACUCCUACGGAAGGCAGCAG
Molecule: ribosomal RNA, 255 nt
Filed under: uncultured bacterium
Lineage: Bacteria
Description: partial 16S ribosomal RNA
Rfam family: Bacterial small subunit ribosomal RNA
Source: RNAcentral